This is a long non-coding RNA of Mustela lutreola (European mink), 1684 nucleotides long. RefSeq lists it as uncharacterized. The transcript has 2 exons. The record is from RefSeq and is a predicted model, not a curated record. NCBI's taxonomy places the organism in Eukaryota, Metazoa, Chordata, Mammalia, Carnivora, Mustelidae.
GCGGGGGAGCGGCGGCCGCAGCGGCGACCGCGCAAGCAACAGCUUGCAGAGCCCAGCGCCGUGUGACACGGCUCCCUGACAUUAGUGGUGUGAGUCAGCUUGGAAACAAUCCUCGCGGUUUCAGACAGGACCACGGAGGAGGCACGGACACGGGCUGUCCUCCUAGCAAGGCCUGGGGAGGCUCCACACCCAGCUUGGGACCCCGAUGUGCGGCUUGAACUCACAACCCUGAGAUCAAAACCUCAGCUGAGAUCAAGAGCUUAACAGACUGAGCCACCCAGCGGUGGCUUCAUUAUCUUAUCUGAAGGGGUAAAGAUUUUCAAACAAAUGGACCUGCAAAAUGUAUCCAGAGGCAGCAACAAUCACAACAUGGCUAGCUAACACUUAACAGGCAUUUACUCUUUAUGUGUAUUCUUUCAGUUAUUCUCUCAAUAACCCUAUGAGGUGGUUGGAACCAUGCUUAUUUUAUGAUGAGAAGAUAGUUUUAUUUAUUUUUCUAAUUUAAAUUUUUGUUAACAUAGAGGGCAAUAUUGGUUUCUGGAGUAAAAUUCAGUGAUUCGUCACUUACACACAAUACCCAGUGCUCAUCACAAUGAGUGCCCUCCUUAAUGUCCAUCACUCAUCUAGCCCAUCCCCCACCCACCUCCCUUCAUCAACCCUGUUUGUUCUCUAUUGUUAAGAGUCUCUUGUGGUUUGUUUCCUUUCCCCUUUUUUCCCCCUUCCCAUAUGUUCAUCUGUUUUCUUUCUUAAAUUCCACAUCUGAGUGAGAUCAUAUGAUACUUGUCUUUCUGUGACUGGCUUAUUUCAUUUAGCAUAAUAUACUCUAGCUCUAUCCACAUCAUUGCAAAUGGCCAGAUUUCAUUUUCUGAUGGCUGAGUAAUAUUCCGUUGGAUAUAUAUACACACAUAUACCACAGAGAAGAUAGUUCUAGAGCAGCAAGUAACUUGCCCAGGAGAGCACAUCUGGGGUGUGGCCAAUAUGGGAGAGGGACCCAGAACACUGGUACCAGUACCAGCACCUGCCAAAGCCUGAUGGGACAUUAAGCAUGUGCAGAAGCCGAGAUUGGACAGUGUGCCCACUGUGCCUUCCCACCUUAUUUGCAUACAGUACUACUCAUGCUGCCUGGACAUCAGAUGACACCCAAAGCGAGUGUGAAGUAAACCUGUUUCAUCCACGGUUGAGUGGCCUAGAAAGAGGUGGGCACAGGCAGCCCUGAAAGGCCAUGCUUUCCUUUCAAACCAGAACUUUCUUGAACACAGAAAGAAAAGGCCAUGGCACUCGAAGAAGCAUGGCACCCUCUCUUACUCAUGUGACAUCACUGUGCUGACCAACAAAUAACAUACACUGAAAAUGACAUAAAAGAAAAGGGAAACAUGGGCAGCCCCCACUUCCUUUUCCUUUCAGUCUCUCCUUACUCAUGAGUAAACAGAAGGCAGAGUUUUGGCCGAAUGCGCGCACAUCAAGAACUGAAAUAUAGAGACACCUGGGUGGCUCAGUGGGUUAAAGCCUCUGCCUUCGGCUCCGGUCAUGGUCCCAGGGUCCUGGGAUCGAGCCCUGCAUCAGGCUCUCUGCUCAGCAGGGAGCCUGCUUCCUCCUCUCUCUCUGCCUGCCUCUCUGCCUACUUGUGAUCUCUCUCUCUCUCUCUCUGUGUGUCAAAUAAAUAAAUAAAAUCUUUUUAAAAAAA